AGUAGUUGAUCAUGGCUCGAGGACGACGCUGGCGGCGUGCCUAACACAUGCAAGUCGAACGAAGCGCAGCGAUGCGCUUAGUGGCGGACGGGUGAGUAACGCGUGAGCAACCUGCCCUAUACUACGGGAUAACACGGGGAAACUUGUGCUAAUACCGUAUGUGACUACGAUCGGGCAUCCGAUAGUGGUAAAAGAAUUUCGGUAUAGGAGGGGCUCGCGUCCCAUUAGUUAGUUGGUAGGGUAACGGCCUACCAAGACAGCGAUGGGUAGCCGACCUGAGAGGGUGAUCGGCCACACUGGAACUGAGAUACGGUCCAGACUCCUACGGGAGGCAGCAGUGGGGAAUAUUGGGCAAUGGAGGCAACUCUGAACCCCCAGCAACGCCGCGUGAAUGAUGAAGGUCUUCGGAUUGUAAAGUUCUUUAAUUGGGGACGAAUAAAUGACGGUACCCAAAGAAUAAGCCACGACUAACUACGUGCCAGCAGCAGC
Molecule: ribosomal RNA, 489 nt
Filed under: uncultured bacterium
Lineage: Bacteria
Description: bacterial SSU rRNA
Rfam family: Bacterial small subunit ribosomal RNA
Source: RNAcentral